This 74-nucleotide transfer RNA is filed under the name Tremella mesenterica DSM 1558. RNAcentral's name for it is "tRNA-Lys (CTT) (tRNA-Lys-CTT-1-1)". It matches the Rfam family "tRNA". From Rfam's summary of the family: Transfer RNA (tRNA) molecules are approximately 80 nucleotides in length. Their secondary structure includes four short double-helical elements and three loops (D, anti-codon, and T loops). Further hydrogen bonds mediate the characteristic L-shaped molecular structure. tRNAs have two regions of fundamental functional importance: the anti-codon, which is responsible for specific mRNA codon recognition, and the 3' end, to which the tRNAs corresponding amino acid is attached (by aminoacyl-tRNA synthetases). tRNAs cope with the degeneracy of the genetic code in two manners: having more than one tRNA (with a specific anti-codon) for a particular amino acid; and 'wobble' base-pairing, i.e. permitting non-standard base-pairing at the 3rd anti-codon position. Lineage: Eukaryota; Fungi; Basidiomycota; Tremellomycetes; Tremellales; Tremellaceae. The record is from RNAcentral.
GCCCGUCUAGCAAAAUCGGCCAAUGCGUCCGACUCUUAAUCGGAAGGUUGUGGGUUCGAGUCCCACGGUGGGCU